CCUACGGGUGGCAGCAGUGAGGAAUAUUGGUCAAUGGCCGAGAGGCUGAACCAGCCAAGUCGCGUGAGGGAAGACGGCCCUACGGGUUGUAAACCUCUUUUGUCGGGGAGCAAAGCGAGUCACGUGUGACUCAUUGAGAGUACCCGAAGAAAAAGCAUCGGCUAACUCCGUGCCAGCAGCCGCGGUAAUACGGAGGAUGCGAGCGUUAUCCGGAUUUAUUGGGUUUAAAGGGUGCGCAGGCGGAGGUGCAAGUCAGCGGUCAAAUUGCGGGGCUCAACCCCGUACUGCCGUUGAAACUGCAUCCCUUGAGUGCGCGAGAAGUAUGCGGAAUUCCUGGUGUAGCGGUGAAAUGCUUAGAUAUCAGGAGGAACAUCGGUGGCGUAAGCGCUUUACUGGGCCGUAAUUGACGCUGAGGAACGAAAGCCAGGGUAGCAAAUGGGAUUAGAUACCCCAGUAGUC
RNAcentral lists this ribosomal RNA (459 nucleotides) under uncultured bacterium. RNAcentral describes it as "partial 16S ribosomal RNA". It matches the Rfam family "Bacterial small subunit ribosomal RNA", at positions 338 to 795 of the family's 1533-position model. The record is from RNAcentral.